Molecule: ribosomal RNA, 512 nt
Filed under: uncultured bacterium
Lineage: Bacteria
Description: bacterial SSU rRNA
Rfam family: Bacterial small subunit ribosomal RNA
Source: RNAcentral
AACGCUGGCGGCGUGCCUAAUACAUGCAAGUCGAACGGUCUUUCUAUGGAAGCUUGCUUCCACUGAGAAGAUAGUGGCGAACGGGUGAGUAACACGUGGGUAACCUGCCCAUAAGAGGGGGAUAACAUCCGGAAACGGGUGCUAAUACCGCAUAGUUUUCUUGAUGCAUGAUUGAGAAAGGAAAGACGGCCUUUGUGCUGUCGCUUAUGGAUGGACCCGCGGCGUAUUAGUUAGUUGGUGAGGUAACGGCUCACCAAGACGAUGAUACGUAGCCGACCUGAGAGGGUGAUCGGCCACAUUGGGACUGAGACACGGCCCAAACUCCUACGGGAGGCAGCAGUAGGGAAUCUUCCGCAAUGGACGAAAGUCUGACGGAGCAACGCCGCGUGAGUGAAGAAAGGUUUUCGGAUCGUAAAACUCUGUUGUCAGAGAAGAACAAGUUGGAGAGUAACUGCUCCAGCCUUGACGGUAUCUGACCAGAAAGCCACGGCUAACUACGUGCCAGCAGCCGC